Molecule: ribosomal RNA, 1650 nt
Filed under: Triticum aestivum (bread wheat)
Lineage: Eukaryota; Viridiplantae; Streptophyta; Magnoliopsida; Poales; Poaceae
Description: partial small subunit ribosomal RNA
Source: RNAcentral
AUGAUACAUAUAAAGUUAAUUAGUUACUGGGAUCUUCCGCACCAGUUGAAGACUUGUUUGUUGUACUUAUGUAUAUAUCCAGAGGAUUGGCGUAUCUCAUGUGAAGAACUGAAAUGGAAAUGGAUAGCUGAAGGCUUCAUUGCAACAAAACAUGGAAGUUUGUAUCAAGAUGCAGAGAGUUGUUUCAAUGAACUUGUCAAUAGAAGAUUGAUCCACCUAGUUGCCGCUGAUGGUUUUGAAAAAAAAUAUUGUCAGGUUCAUGAUAUGGUGCUUGACCUCAUAAUAUCUCUGUCAGAUCAAGAGAACUUUGCCACAAUUUUAAACAGCAUUUGCAAUUCUUUGCCAAACAAGAUCCAUCGAAUCUCCCUGCAAUCUAGUGGGCAUGAACAAAAAGGGGUAAUCCAAGCCAUCACAAGAAGCAAGUUACAUGUUCGCUCAUUGAAUCUGUUUGGAGAAACAAAGAAGAUACCUCCACUUGUUGACUUCCAGUCUAUGCAUGUGCUUGAUAUAUGUGUGAACUAUGAGUCCUGGGAAAACAAGGAUAUAAGAAAUAUAGGAAGUUUUUAUCAACUGAGGUAUUUGAGAAUUCAGAAUGCAGGAAUCACAAAGCUUCCUGAAGAUAUUGGGAAGCUACAGCACUUAGAGACUCUUGAUUUGCAGGAUACCCUAAUUCAAGAGCUGCCAUCAACUACAGCCCAACUAAAGAAUUUGAUGCGCCUAUUUGUCCGCUUUAAGUGUGUGCUUUUCGCAAAUAUGUCUGGGAGCAUGCGAGCCCUGGAGGAAGUGUCAGAUAUAUGUAUAGUUGACAACCCUGAGAAAUUUUUGGAAGAGCUUGUACAUCUAACAAAAUUGAGAAAGAUUAUGAUGACCGGAUCAUGGACUGAAUGCUAUGGAGAAAGACUAGCGUCAUAUCUGAAGGGGUUGGGCAAUGACAGCCUUCAAUAUCUUUUUAACCGUGGACAAAUAGGAGAAUAUCUGUUCAGUGAUCCAUGCUCCACCUUUCCGAACCUUCAAAAUCUUGUACUAGUGCUCCCCCUGAUGAGGGUUCCAAAGGGAAUGGCCUCCCUAACGAACAUCAUCAAAUUAGACAUACAAGUCAGAUUAUUUGAUGAUGAAGGUCUCCAUAUUCUUAUGGGUAUGCCUUCUCUGGCCAAUCUCCGGCUAGAUGUAUUGGAUCAGUUGGCUGGCGCCCUGACUAUAAGUAGGAACGGAUUCAAGCUGCUAGUGGUGUUCCACUACACAAUUAAUGCAGAUGGAACAACGGGUAUAAAAUUUGCAGCAGGUGCUAUGCCAGCGCUCCGAUGUCUCGAGCUUACCUGGAAGGCACGUUAUUUUCCGUUGAGGACUAGUGACGGUGCUGACGUGGGCCUUGAGCUGCUUUCAAGCCUUGCUGAGAUCCAGGUUGAAACUUCUUGCUAUGAUGCAACACUGGACGAGGUGGAGGGUGUGGAAGGUUUCGUUGCAAAAGCAAUCGCUUUGUAUCCCAACCAUCUUCAGAUCGGUCUCAGUAGAAGACAUGAAGAGAUGAUUAUGACAACCGAGAAGAGCGAAAAUGAGGAGGAGGAAAGCCGUAGGAGAGCACGGGUUAUUUCAUUCCUUUGCACCGCAUCCUAUGAUUUACUGAUCUGCCCCUCUUUUCCUCCGCAGUAG